CGUAUAGGGUGUGACGCCUGCCCGGUGCCGGAAGAUUAAAUGAUGGGGUGCAAGCUCUUGAUUGAAGUCCCGGUAAACGGCGGCCGUAACUAUAACGGUCCUAAGGUAGCGAAAUUCCUUGUCGGGUAAGUUCCGACCUGCACGAAUGGCGUAACGAUGGCCACACUGUCUCCUCCCGAGACUCAGCGAAGUUGAAGUGUUUGUGAUGAUGCAAUCUACCCGCGGCUAGACGGAAAGACCCCAUGAACCUUUACUGUAGCUUUGCAUUGGACUUUGAACCGAUCUGUGUAGGAUAGGUGGGAGGCUAUGAAACCGGAACGCUAGUUUCGGUGGAGCCGUCCUUGAAAUACCACCCUGGUUUGUUUGAGGUUCUAACCUUGGCCCGUGAUCCGGGUCGGGGACAGUGCAUGGUAGGCAGUUUGACUGGGGCGGUCUCCUCCCAAAGCGUAACGGAGGAGUACGAAGGUACGCUAGGUACGGUCGGAAAUCGUGCUGAUAGUGCAAUGGCAUAAGCGUGCUUAACUGCGAGACCGACAAGUCGAGCAGGUGCGAAAGCAGGUCAUAGUGAUCCGGUGGUUCUGUAUGGAAGGGCCAUCGCUCAACGGAUAAAAGGUACUCUGGGGAUAACAGGCUGAUACCGCCCAAGAGUUCAUAUCGACGGCGGUGUUUGGCACCUCGAUGUCGGCUCAUCUCAUCCUGGGGCUGUAGCCGGUCCCAAGGGUAUGGCUGUUCGCCAUUUAAAGAGGUACGUGAGCUGGGUUUAAAACGUCGUGAGACAGUUUGGUCCCUAUCUGCCGUGGGCGUUGGAUAUUUGAAGGGGGCUGCUCCUAGUACGAGAGGACCGGAGUGGACGAACCUCUGGUGUACCGGUUGUCACGCCAGUGGCAUCGCCGGGUAGCUAUGUUCGGAAGAGAUAACCGCUGAAAGCAUCUAAGCGGGAAACUCGCCUUAAGAUGAGAUAUCCCUGGGGACUAGAUCCCCUUGAAGGGUCGUUCGAGACCAGGACGUUGAUAGGUCAGGUGUGUAAGCGCAGUAAUGCGUUCAGCUAACUGAUACUAAUUGCCCGUAAGGCUUGAUCCUAUAACA
Molecule: ribosomal RNA, 1086 nt
Filed under: Burkholderia cenocepacia
Lineage: Bacteria; Pseudomonadati; Pseudomonadota; Betaproteobacteria; Burkholderiales; Burkholderiaceae
Description: bacterial LSU rRNA
Rfam family: Bacterial large subunit ribosomal RNA
Source: RNAcentral